This 89-nucleotide transfer RNA is filed under the name Pseudomonadota bacterium. RNAcentral's name for it is "tRNA-Leu". It matches the Rfam family "tRNA". Rfam says of the family: Transfer RNA (tRNA) molecules are approximately 80 nucleotides in length. Their secondary structure includes four short double-helical elements and three loops (D, anti-codon, and T loops). The record is from RNAcentral. Lineage: Bacteria; Pseudomonadati; Pseudomonadota.
GCCCCGGUGGCGUAAUCGGUAGCCGCAUCGGGCUUAAAACCCGCUGGCCUUCACUGGUCGUGCCGGUUCAAGUCCGGCCCGGGGCACCA